This 393-nucleotide ribosomal RNA is filed under the name uncultured bacterium. RNAcentral describes it as "partial 16S ribosomal RNA". It matches the Rfam family "Bacterial small subunit ribosomal RNA", at positions 523 to 918 of the family's 1533-position model. The record is from RNAcentral.
AUACGGAGGUUCCGAGCGUUAUCCGGAUUUAUUGGGCUUAAAGGGAGCGUAGGCGGACAGUUAAGUCAGUUGUGAAAGCUUGCGGCUCAACCGUAAAAUUGCAGUUGAUACUGGAUAUCUUGAGUGCAGUUGAGGCAGGCGGAAUUCGUGGUGUAGCGGUGAAAUGCUUAGAUAUCACGAAGAACACCGAUUGCGAAGGCAGCCUGCUAAGCUGCAACUGACAUUGAGGCUCGAAAGUGUGGGUAUCAAACAGGAUUAGAUGCCCUGGUAGUCCACACGGUAAACGAUGAAUACUCGCUGUUUGCGAUAUACAGCAAGCGGCCAAGCGAAAGCGUUAAGUAUUCCACCUGGGGAGUACGCCGGCAACGGUGAAACUCAAAUGAAUUGGCGGGG